GGAUGUGAGGGCAAUCUGGCUGCAACAUCUGUCACCCAUUGAUCACCAGGGUUGAUUCGGCUGAUCUGGCUGGCUAGGCAGGUGUCCCCUUCCUCCCUCAUUGCUCCAUGUGCAUCCCUCCCAAAGCUGCAUGCUAGGUCAAAGAGGACAACCAUCCCUGAUAGAGGGGGACCAUUCUUCAGUCAAGAGCAUACAAGUAGCUGCGGCCCCCUGCUAGAACCUCCAAACAAGCAUACAUUUAGAUUUAUCUCUAUUUUAUAUGGUUUAUGAGUGUGAGUAUACACAUAUACGUACAAAAAAGAUGCAGGUGUUUUCUU
Molecule: unclassified non-coding RNA, 317 nt
Gene: 7SK
Rfam family: 7SK RNA
About the family: 7SK was discovered as an abundant small nuclear RNA in the mid-70s but a possible function has only recently been suggested.
Source: Ensembl